This 301-nucleotide ribosomal RNA is filed under the name uncultured bacterium. RNAcentral describes it as "partial 16S ribosomal RNA". It matches the Rfam family "Bacterial small subunit ribosomal RNA", at positions 509 to 807 of the family's 1533-position model. The record is from RNAcentral.
CAGUCGCCGCGGUAAGACAGAGGAUGCAAGCGUUAUCCGGAAUGAUUGGGCGUGAAGCGUCUGUAGGUGGCUUUUCAAGUCCGCCGUCAAAUCCCAGGGCUCAACCCUGGACAGGCGGUGGAAACUACCAAGCUGGAGUACGGUAGGGGCAGAGGGAAUUUCCGGUGGAGCGGUGAGAUGCGUUGAGAUCGGAAAGAACACCAACGGCGAAAGCACUCCGCCGGGCCGACACUGACACUGAGAGACGAAAGCUAAGGGAGCAAAUGGGAUUAGAUACCCCAGUAGUCCCUGUCUCUUAUAC